This 495-nucleotide ribosomal RNA is filed under the name uncultured bacterium. RNAcentral's name for it is "partial 16S ribosomal RNA". It matches the Rfam family "Bacterial small subunit ribosomal RNA", at positions 30 to 507 of the family's 1533-position model. The record is from RNAcentral.
UGAACGCUGGCGGCGUGCCUAAUACAUGCAAGUCGAGCGAACAGACGCGGAGCUUGCUCCUCUGCCGUUAGCGGCGGACGGGUGAGUAACACGUGGAUAACCUACCUAUAAGACUGGGAUAACUUCGGGAAACCGGAGCUAAUACCGGAUAAUAUAUUGAACCGCAUGGUUCAAUAGUGAAAGACGGUUUUGCUGUCACUUAUAGAUGGAUCCGCGCCGCAUUAGCUAGUUGGUAAGGUAACGGCUUACCAAGGCGACGAUGCGUAGCCGACCUGAGAGGGUGAUCGGCCACACUGGAACUGAGACACGGUCCAGACUCCUACGGGAGGCAGCAGUAGGGAAUCUUCCGCAAUGGGCGAAAGCCUGACGGAGCAACGCCGCGUGAGUGAUGAAGGUCUUCGGAUCGUAAAACUCUGUUAUUAGGGAAGAACAAAUGUGUAAGUAACUAUGCACGUCUUGACGGUACCUAAUCAGAAAGCCACGGCUAACUACGUG